RNAcentral lists this ribosomal RNA (253 nucleotides) under uncultured bacterium. RNAcentral describes it as "partial 16S ribosomal RNA". It matches the Rfam family "Bacterial small subunit ribosomal RNA", at positions 524 to 776 of the family's 1533-position model. The record is from RNAcentral.
GACGAAGGUGGCAAGCGUUGUUCGGAAUCACUGGGCAUAAAGAGCACGUAGGCGGCUAAGUAAGUCGGAUGUGAAAUACCUCGGCUCAACCGAGGAACUGCGUCCGAUACUGCUUGGCUUGAGGUCCGGAGGGGAGAGUGGAAUUCCAGGUGUAGCGGUGAAAUGCGUAGAUAUCUGGAAGAACACCAGUGGCGAAGGCGCUCUACUGGGCCACAACUGACGCUGAGGGACGAAAGCUAGGGGAGCGAAAGGG